UGAGUCGAAUCUAUGCUUAGAAGCUGGAAGACUUCUAGCCUUCGACUUGUGCACUGCCAAAUCAAAACUAACCCGGGUCUGAUUUUCACGAAUACAGUGCCCUAACUUUUCAAAACCUGCAUCCAAAAGAGAACCUCUCUUCAAUGAAACGGUCAUACCUUUUUCCCUCCUAUGACCAAGUUGCCUCCGCUUCAAAUGAGUUGACUUUGAC
This 211-nucleotide long non-coding RNA is filed under the name Gossypium barbadense (sea-island cotton). RNAcentral describes it as "long non-coding RNA (GBAR_LNC022096)". The record is from RNAcentral. Lineage: Eukaryota; Viridiplantae; Streptophyta; Magnoliopsida; Malvales; Malvaceae.